UCGGUGCCGCAGCUAACGCAUUAAGUACUCCGCCUGGGAAGUACGCUCGCAAGAGUGAAACUCAAAGGAAUUGACGGGGACCCGCUCAAGUAGCGUAGCAUGUGGUUUAAUUCGAAGCAACGCGAAGAACCUUACCUAAGCUUGACAUCCCAAAGACAUCUCCUUAAUCUGAGAGUUCCCUUCGGGGACAUUGGGGACAGGUGGUGCAUGGUU
RNAcentral lists this ribosomal RNA (213 nucleotides) under Clostridioides difficile. Its description in RNAcentral is "partial 16S ribosomal RNA". It matches the Rfam family "Bacterial small subunit ribosomal RNA", at positions 840 to 1050 of the family's 1533-position model. Lineage: Bacteria; Bacillati; Bacillota; Clostridia; Peptostreptococcales; Peptostreptococcaceae. The record is from RNAcentral.